Chrysemys picta bellii (western painted turtle) is the source of this 9851-nucleotide RNA transcript. RefSeq lists it as uncharacterized. NCBI's taxonomy places the organism in Eukaryota, Metazoa, Chordata, Testudines, Emydidae. The record is from RefSeq and is a predicted model, not a curated record.
AAGAUGCUUAUAAGCACAUAUUGGGAUUUCCAAAAAUGUCUAGCCCCCUAAUUUCUGGAGUAAGGUGCAUGGUCACUUUUGAAAUUCCCACUAGGUGCUUCUCCGCAUUUAGGCACCUAAAACUUUGAAAAUCUGGCACUAAAUCUUUGGGGAUCGGCUGGAAAACCUUCUGGAAUCCAGGGAAUUGAAAGCUCUAUAACAAAAUAAAUUGGCUGAGAAGAUGUUGAGAGUAAGAGAAUCUAAGAAUGGACUUGUCUCUCUCCUUUCACUUUCAGGAUGAGGGUCUGUGAGAUGGAACAUCAGAAGGGAAAACCAUGCCCCCAACAAGCAAGACACCAAGUGUGUGUAUCUGAAAAUGGCUAGACAGGAAGUACUGGGUGAAGACACCAUCUUAUAACUGAGUUAUCCCCUAUUCCACAUCUGAUCUGAAGCUUGUAAUGGGUUCCCCUCUCAAGUGUUGUGAGGACCAGCACACUGGGUCAGUUUGUUCAAACCAGUAUGUUAGGCACAGAAUCAGCAGAUCUCCAAAGAUCUCCAAAGACUCUAAAAAGUGUAGACUGCAGUACCAGACUCCAAUGACCCGGGCAGAUCUACGGGCUUCAGUGUUCCGGAGCCACUAGACAAGGGACUUGCCUGUGUCAACGUUGUUGGAUCAUCAUGCUGGUUGUAUCCAAGGCAGUUGGAACCCUCCUUGGCAGUACUGCAUUGGCAGUCCCUCAGGCCUGACUGCCUGAUCAAGGCUUUGUGGCUGUGGCUCCAUGGUCUGCUGCAGGAUUUGGGUUUUGUGGCCCCAGAUCCAGGUCUAGCUGCCAGAUCCAAAUUUUGCGGCCCCGUAUCCUUUGAGAGACAGAUCCAGAGACCAGAGCAACUUCGGUCACAUGGCCAGGCCUCCUAGGUCAACCUGAACUAAUCCAGGGACCUUGAUGGUGAGUUGAUCCUUAAAUGAAUCCUGGUCUCACAGAUGACCAGACUUAAACCAACUGGAUCUGAGAGGUGUGCAAGGGGUUUGCGAGGUAGCCCUCCCACUUCUGAGGGUCCAGACAAAGCCCAUGCUGGAUAGGCAUCUACUUUUCUUUUCUUUCCCUAUAGGAAAUCAGACUAAGUAACAAUUGAUCUAUUAUAAACAGCAUUUGCCUCUGAAGGGCAGAGAGAGAGAACAAUGAUGACAGAAGCAUUGAGGAUUUUGCGCAUGGUUGAUCCAAGCUCGCUGCACUUUCUUCAGUAGGAAGGAGCUCAACAGCAGUUGGGCUGCACCCCCUUUACAACCUCUGAACGCUCUGGUAUGAGAGGGAAGAGAAGGGUGAGCGACCUCUGCAGACUCUGCCUUCCAGAACUUUACGGUACUUCCCAGCACACAGGCCUCGAUCCUACAGUGGGAAGAUGCAGAAGCCACUCAUAGAAUGACUGUUAAAGUGAUGUCUUUGACAUUUAAUACAUCAAAUUCAUUUGCCAUCACAGGACGCUUCUGUUAUUGGUCCCACAAACCAUGAUAUUCUUCACAGUUUACAAUUUCACUUACCAGUAGUUGUCAUGUUUGGAGGAUAUUUGAAAGAAGCUGGAAAAGAACAGAUGAUAAGUGAAUUAUUUGGGACAAUAACCCGCUGUGUCUUGUCCUGUUCUACUGGCUGCAAUACCUCCACAGCUCACCCACAGUGCAGGACAAGCCUGGGCCAACGAACCUUUGUGGACUGUUCCAAAAGGAAAUAUUUUUGUGAUGAACUUAUGGUUGAAGUUCUGGAGACAGCCAACAAGUAGAUCCAACACCAAAACCAGAUGAACUUGUGGCUAGAGGAAAGGUAUGGUGAAACACAAGAGGAAAGGCUCAGACUGGCUUCACACCUCGAGGACAAGGUUUCAGCACAGGAACAGAUAUUUAAUUCACAGUUCCAGGAACAGGAAUGGCUGCUAAGGGAGGAGGAUAGAGCUCAGCAGAUAGAACUGUUCCUUUGCCCCAUGCAGCCCUCCAUAUUUAUCCCCUUCCUGUGGAUGCUUCCACCCCCUCCAGUAAUUUCAUAAGUGGUCAUGUCAUUGCAUGGCACUAAAACUCCACCCCUAUCCCCAAGUACCCCCAUCCCUCCUGGCAAUCAUUAAUCCCCUGUACCACCUAUCCCAACAAGAGCAUUCAUAAAGGUACUAUUCCUCCUCUCCCAUUGGGUCAUGCAAAUCCAUAAUGUGGGUGCACCAAGCAUCCCUGACUCCUGUUGCCUGGGUGCAUCCACCUCCAGCAGUUAUAACUCCACUUUCUGGCUGAGCAUACCCAUUCAACAGCUCCUCGUUGUUAUAGGUCCAUUCUGGGGGAAAUGGCUCACCUUUGGCUUCACAAAGAUUGUGGAGAGCACAGCAAAUCACAAUAAUGCAGACAGCAUUGAUGACAACGGAAUCCAAACAGUUCUGUAGACCUCUCCAAUAGGAUUUUAAUCUGCCAAAAGCACAUUAGCAACCAUUCCACACCUGCUGAGAGUGUAAUUAAACCUUCUUUUGCCUGGGCCUCUGAAAUCAGGGUUCAGUUCCAUUGGCCAAGGCAAAAGUGUGUAUGCAGGUUCCCCCAGAAUAACAGUGGGGGACAGUAACUCUAUUUAUGACAAUGUCAUUUUGUGGGAAUAAUGUCCCAGCUUGUCCAUGAACGUAGACUCCCAACUGGUGAUAAACUCUGGCAUUGUGAACUAUCAUAGUACAACCCACAUUGACAUUCAUAAAUGAUCUUCUAUGGUCAAUAAGGACUUGCAUAACAAUGGAGUUGUUGGCAAUUUAUGUACUCACGUGUCCUUGAGGAGGACAAACUAUGUGCACAUAAGUCCCAUCAAUGGCACCAAGUGCAGUUUGGAAACCCCAUUCUCCCAAACCCAGAAAUUAUUUCUCUAACAUCUUUUAUGCCAGCCACUUUGGGGUGAACCACACUCCUGAUUGUCUCAGAAAACUCCAUCACCACUUUACCCACAGUUGAGUUUCCAACCCCAAGCUGAUUUGCACCAGACCUCUAGCAGUCUGAGGUAGCCAGCUUCCAGACAGCUAUAGCAACCUGCUUCUGUACUGGCAAGACUGACAUUGUGUGUUUGUCUUUAUGCUGGAGGGUCAGGGUAAGCUACUCACAAAGGUCCAGAAGUGUGGCUUUCUUCAGGCAGAAGUUCGGGAUCCACUCCUAGUCAUCCCAGGUCUACAAGACAAUGUGAUUCUACCAGUCUGUGCUUGUGAGUCUGUGCUCGUGGCCUUGCACCAGAAGCACCAGUUUAUGCAGGGGACUCAGUGGCUGAACUGAGUGUCAAGAGAAGCAUCAGCCACUUUCAGUUUGCCAGGUGAGGGUAUGCCUCCUGCUCCUGCUCCAUCAUAAACUGUGUCAGGUGUCUUUGGUGGGUCAGAAAAUUCUGCCAAAAUGUCCACCACCAUCUCAUGGAAGUGCUGCCUGUUUCCUGACACAGGAGUGAGAAGUUAAUUAAAAGGUGCUCCUCCAUGUUGCUGGCUCUGGUAGCUGGAAACACACAGACCAAAAUGACCACUCAGCAGGCUGUGUUGGUGGGUUGUUUAAACUUCCUGAAACAUACAGGCUAAGCAGUAGUAAAGUUUUCCAACAGUGCGCUACUGUCAAAGGACUUGAGGGACCACAUUUCCAGCAGGUCCUAGGGAGUCUGGGAUAUGGCUGGUUUGACUCAGGUCUCUGUACUGCAGUGUGGAUGCCAAAGCCCCAUGUUCAAGCCUGGUUAGAAAAUUCUUAAUGUAGAGUUAAUCAGUGUAAAUGUUCUAAUCCAAAAUCAGCUGACUCAAGCCCCACUAAUCCAGGGCUUACAUAACAGUGUAGACAUACCAUACUCAUAUUGUCUUUUUAGGACAUAGCUGUAUUCAUAUUUCUGUGAAGAACAGACCACAGACUAUUAGAACCAGAUUAAUCCAGUAAAAAUCUGUUCUCUAACUUUGGUUUCUAAUUCAGGGAAUUGUUUGAUUUAGCCAGUUCUCAACUGCUUGUUCUUUUUGUUGGUACAUGAAAGUGUAAUACACUCUGCAAGGAGAUCCACUGGCAGAAUCUUACCUUUAGGCUUUGUCUACACUGGGGAAAUGAGGUGUGUUAACAAAUGUGUUCACUGUUAUGCUUCAGUUAACACCUUUUAAACAUCACAAAGCACCUAGUGUACACAAAGACAGUUGUGUUGACAUUAGUGUGACAAUAUGUGACACUUCAGUAAUGAUAGUCUAGAUGUGUGAACUGAUGAACAUUAAUUAAUUCAAAUUAAAUUAAUUAAUUAAUUCUAAAAUUAAUCCUAAAAUAUUUUCCUAGUGUUUACAAUCCAACACUGAUGGAGCUAAGUUCUCUGAAAAACAAACCUCUCAUUUGUCCUCAUUAUUUACAAAAGUGAGUUUUUUUCUAUAAACUGGAGUUGUGCCAGUUGGAAGCAACAGAGGAGGAGAAAGACCUGGGUGUAUUAGUUGAUCACAGGAUGACUAUGAGCCACAAAUGUGAUGCAGCUGUGAAAAAGGCUAAUGGAAUCCUAGGAUGCAUCAGAGAAGAUAUUUCCAGGAGCAAUGAGAAACUGUUAUUAUCAUUGUGCAAGGACCUGGUGAGACCUCAUCUGGAAUAAUGUGUGCAAUUUUGGUCUCCCAAGUUUGAGAACAUUUAAUUCAAACUGGAACACGUGCAGAGAAGGGCUACGAGGGUGAAUAGAGGAAUGGAAAACCUACCUUAUGAGAGGAGACUCAAGGAGUUUAACUUAUUUUUCCUAACCAAACAAAGGCUGAGGGAAGACAUGACUGCUGUCUAUAAAUACAUCAGAGGGAUAAAUACCAGGGAAGCAGAGGAGUUAUUUCCCUGACACUAAUAUUGACAAAAGAACAAAUGGAUAUAAACUGGCCAUCAACAAGUUCGGUAUUGAAAUUACAUGAAGGUUUCUAACAAUCAGAGAAGUGAAGUUCUGGAAUGACCUUCCAAAGGGAGAAGUGGGGGCAAAACACCUAACUGGUUUCAAGACUGAGCUUGAAAAGUUUAUGGAGGGGAUAGUAUGACAAGUUUGCAUACUAUAGCAUGUGGCUCAGCUGCAACUGCUAGUAGUAAAUACUCCAAUGACCUCAAAGGGGGAUACUAAAUAGGGAGGGCCCAGAGUUACUUCAGAUAAUUCUUUCCCAGGUGUCUGGCUGGUAGGUCUCACCCAUAUGAUCAGGGUGUAAUUGAUUGCCAUAAUUGGAGUUAGGAAGGAAUUUUCUACCAGAUGAGGUGGCAGAGACCCUAAGGGACAGGGGGGAGUUCAUUUUCCUCUGCAGUUUGGAGUAUGGGUCCCUUGCAGGUAUAAACUAGAGUAAAGGGUGGAUUCUCUAUUACUACAAUGCUCGUUCUAAUUAGUGGAAAUACUUUAACUGAGUUAAGUAAGCAUUCUGUCAGGCACAUAGGGAAACUAUGUCCAUGAAUUUUGGGAUUUCACUCUAAAUGAACCAAUGCACACAGGCAUUCUUAACUUUGGCAGUUCCCUGAUUCCUGAGCAUAUUACCAUGCCAUCUCAUGUAACCCACAAUAACUGUCUGUUAUUGUGGGUUACAUGGGUAUUAUCUGUCUCAUUUUCUCCAGAUAAUACCCAAACCAGAUAGAGAGAUUUAUGAGUCUGCUAUAGACUUCAAGUUGAUUGUUGUAGUGCUUUAUCUGAGACAGUAAUGAAUCCUGCCUUUAGAUACAGGGAGCCUGGGUUCGGUCCCCACAGAUUGCCUUAGGUCAUGUCUAUGCUACAAAAUUAAGUUGACCUAACUUACAUCAGCAUAUGGCCAUUGUGAUAAUUACAUCACUUGUGCAUUUCUAUAUUUUGCUCCUUGGGUUGAUGGUUUGCGUCCGCAGGAGGUGCACUUGUAUUGAUUGCAUAGUCAGUGUUGGAUGGCUUCUGAGGGCCAGUAACAGUUGAGGUAAGCAACGCAGUGUCUACGCUAACACUUCAUUGACCUAACUAUAUGGAUAUUGAUUACGCUUCUUGUGGAAGUGGAGUUAUUAAAUUGGUGGGGCAGUGCCUUUGGUGGGAGCAAAAUUUUAGUGCAGAGACUUACAGUAAGGUUGAUGUAAGCUGCCUUGUGUUGACCUAACUGUGUUGUGUAGACCAGGUCUCUGAAAUGGCAUCAUUACAAUUGAGCAUCAAUGUGGGGAACUGAAUUUCUGUGGAACACUGAAGCCCAGGUUGAGCUACUCUAACCAGUAGAAGUAUGUACAUAAUCCAUGCUGAAGCAGCAUGGCUUUCUGUCCCCUUACAUUAACUACAUUGUGUACAAAGUUAUAAGAAUGGUACUGCCUCCAAGCACAGUAACUUGCACCUUGAGUCAUUGUAGUCUAUGCUUCCGAUCUAGAAGUCUGGGAUUCAGCCCCCCUCAAGGGGCAUUGUUAUACUUAGCAUUCAUUUAACAUAGAUUUUGCAUGAAAUAAAAUUAAAAUGUCAGCAGUUUAAGCUGGGAAAAUACUUUAAAGAAUUAUAUGACUAUUCACUUCAAUCUUUAAAUUAAUGCAAAGCACAAAAUAUGCAAGGUGUUCACCCAGAAGUAAAUCAUGCUAGCUGUAUUAUAUCGCUGUGUUAUUAAAUCUUUGGGUUUUAUUGUGUGAAUGUGAGAAGUUUAAACUAGUAUAUGCAGAAAGGAAUUCUAAGCUGUGAAACUAUCCAUUAAUGCAUGAAGCAGCCUAUACACCCAUGUUUAUCUACUGUACAAUGGUCUGUGCAAACAGCUUUGUAAAGUACCUACAGAUCUGAUAUUUUCCUUUCAUUUUCACUGAUAGCCUUGGGCUAUCACAGAGGAUUUAUUUAUGAAUUCUUAGUCACCAGUUAAAGUUCUUCCACAUUCUUUCAUAUUAAUAUAUAAAAAAAGAAUUAUUCUAUAUAAUUUCCUCAUACAUGGCUGGAUCCAUUCCUCAUCCUAAUUAGUAGAAAUACUUUCACUGACCUCAGGAGGUAUUGUAUCAGGCAUAUGGAAACUUAAAUUGUCAAAUAGAUUUUGUGGGCAUGGGGAAAUUUUAUUUCUCUUAACUGCUUAUUUUUGCAAAUGUAUCUCUGGCAAAGCUGAAAUAAUUUGAAGAACAAAAUGCUUGGGGAAAGAAAUGUCACUUGUCUGUUUGUAAAGCAUUCCCCUGAAUCUGCAGGCAAACCAGUGUCAUAGGAGUCAGGUUAGCAGUGUUAGUGGCUGAAAAGGGGAAUGUGAGAAUCAGUAUAAUGUCAAUUAAAGUGACGAGUUUUGUGUUGAACAGAUUAAUGUUAGGGUCACCUAUAACGGAGAUGAUAUUUGUCACAGUUCAGGGCAAUGACAUCAGUAUUCUCCCACAUGGUCCACCAAGGACACCCACUUUCAGGCUCCCAGCUCCAUACCUAUCACCUCUCUUGGGUGGAAACAUGCCUCUGACUCCCUCCAGAAUGGGUUUUUUCCAAGCUGCACAGUUCCCUGCCUUCAGUGUGAUAUCCCCAGCAAGCCAGACUGCUUAAGGAGGCCACUGUCUGUGUUUUGCUUUGUCUUUAUGGGGUAUAAAAAGUAUAAUUUGGAAAUCUGACCCUAGUGAAGCAAAUAAACAGCAGCUUAAAUUACAUCAGCCAAUAAGUAAGAAGGCUUUUAGAAGGGUCAAAAUGGAUUUGAGGAGCAAAUUACAAAAGGUGACAUAACAAAUAAGAUUCUUUAAGUCUUUCAGAUGUGGGUCAUUUGCAAAAUAAUUGUUGGGUCUUCUGGAUCAGCCAGGGGUAAAAUGAACAAUUAAAGGAGGAUAAGGACAUUGCAGAGAAGCUAAAGGAUUUCUUUGAAUCCAACUUCAUGAUAGGAGAGAGCCCUACACCAGCUCUACCACUUUCUGGCAAUAAACAUGAGGUACUCUCUGAGAUAGAGGUUUCAGAAGAAGUAGAGAUGCUUGAACAAAUUCAUAAUUUCAGUUCCAGUGAGUUCAGGGAUGGGCCCAGAUGGGCCAUCCAAUAUUUACGAAGGAGAUUAUGUUUGAUAUGGUUGAACUGCUAUUAAAAAUAUCCAAUCCCUCACUACAAACAGCUACUGUUUCAGUAGACUGAAGGGUGGCAAAUGUUGUACCUAUAUAUGUAUAUAAAAGGCUCUAGCAGUGUAUGGGGAAUGAGAGAGAAGAAAACAUUAGAUCUGCAUCUGGCAAAUUGGUGGAAGCAAUUAAAAUAUAUAAUAAAAAAACACCUGGAAGAUCAUGGACUGAUAGGAUCUAACCAGCACAGAUUCUGUAAAAGAAAAUUGUGUCUCACUAAUCUCUUUGAAUGUGUCAAGAAAUUAGUGGAUAAGAAGUGUUUACAAUAAACAAAAUGUAUUUAGACUUCCAAAAGUCUUUUCUCCAAGGUUCCUCAUUAGAGGCUACUACAGAAAUUAUUUAGUCAUGGGGCAGAAGCAAAGUAUCAUCGAGGAUCAAAACCUGGCUAGGAGAGAGAAAGUAAAAAGUAGGUCCAUGUUUCCUAAUGGCAAAAAGUUGAGAGUGGGAUAAUCAAGCUUCUGUAAUUGAUCAAGUGUAGUUUAACAUGUUCACUAAUUAUCUGGAAAGUGGGGUGAAUAGUAAAGUAACAAUAGUUGCUGAUGACACAAAGUUAUUUAGAUUAACCAGGAACAAAAAGAACUGUGAGGAAUUUCAGAGAUAAUGAAACAAGCUGGGUGAAAUGGGAAACAUGAUGGCAAAUAAAGUUCAGUGUUGAUAAAUGCAAAGCAAUACACAAAGAGAAGGGACUGUGUUACCUUGAAAGUGUAUGUUAUGAGAUGUUGUUAUAGGAUAAAGGUUGUUAUUUUACAAUGGGGUAUGUUGCUGGGUGAAGAUCAAAAGAACUAUAUGCCAUUGGGUGCCCAGAGACACAGAGACAGGGACUGCCGGACAGAAGCUCUACCCAGGCGGCUUGUUUGGAACUUUAAUGUUAAGGUUAUUGUGUGGCUCCUGAAGACAGAGGGAGAAGUAUUGCAGAGUGCACUGGGGAGCUAGGUUGUGAUCAGGAAGAAAAGCACUGGCUGAAUUUUAUCAGAUUAGAUUUCCCUAGAUUUCCCUAGUUGAAUAAGGCACUCAAAAGUUAAGUCAACCCAGUUACAUCACUCAGAAGUAUAAAAAAUCCACAUCCCUGAGCUACUUAGGUAAACCAACCUAAUCCCUAGUGUAGACAGGGAUGGAUUCUUCCAUUGACCUAACUACUGCCUCUCAGGGAGGUGGAUUAACUAAGCCAACAGGCGCUGACCCACUGUAGGGUUUCCAGUAUAGACAAGCCCCGGAGAAGAAGAAGUGUUACUGAUUGCUAUUGUUAAGGUUGUGUUAUGUUUAGUCUGGUUCAUUAAAAGCUUAGAGUCUUUUCAAACACAGGAGAUGGAGGAGUAGUCAAUCAUUCAGUGGAGGGUUGUAAGAGAUCUGCAGGGCCAUUGGAGCAGAGUAUGGAAAAGCAGUCAGGAUCUCCUGAUAUUCACAGGCAAGUGUCCUCAGAGGAAUAGCAACCCAGAGACACUAGUGUGGAACAAGGUGCGUGUCCAAGAAGGGUCUGGUUGUGAUGAAUUUGUACACUUUACAAGGGUGUAAAUAAAUUGUAUCAGUUCAAGACAGGGACCUGUACAUCACUGCAGGUGGCUAAAUAAAGACCUUUGCUCAAUGUGCAAGACAACUAUAUUGGAAUGACAUCCCCAAGUAUGAGCCAUUAACAAAUGAGCUAUUGCAAAAUGCCUGAUUAAAAGCAGUAAAAUGGUCUGUACUUACACAUUCACUUUGAAUGGAAUCUUAUCCUCUAGCUCCUUCUAAAACCUGCAGCAAUAUCCAGUUAAUAGAUAAUGUGAGAAAACUGCGGAGAAAGAGAUCUUAUAAAAUGUGAGCAGUAGCAUGUGGGUGGAAUUUAAGCAAGCAGAGAUGUUCAAGACAAAAAGGAGGAAAUUCUGUUCUUGUUUACACUGAUGUA